This 432-nucleotide long non-coding RNA is filed under the name Daucus carota (carrot). RNAcentral describes it as "long non-coding RNA (DCAR_LNC007511)". The record is from RNAcentral. Lineage: Eukaryota; Viridiplantae; Streptophyta; Magnoliopsida; Apiales; Apiaceae.
UACUUUUUGUGAUUCAUAUGAUUUCAGCUACUCAGCAAACAGAGUGCACCAAAAAUCAUAUGGAAUAUAUGUAACCUGCAAUCACAAAUGGAAAGAGUUCUAUGGUUCCCAAUCAUAACUGGGUCCAGAUGGAUUAGAGAGUUUUCUUUAACAGUGGUAACAACAGAAGCAACCUUAACAUGCUAAUUCUUAUCUAGAUAUUGCCCUAAUGUGAUUCUCAAACAUGCUUUUCUAAAAUCAAUGCAAGUACAAAGACAUGCGUUCAUGACAUGAAAAUAAGUAGACAUGAUGAUGAAUACACAUGGCAAACAAGCAAAGAUAAGACAAAAGCACGACAGGCAGUUAUGCAAUUCAGAAGAUUCAGUACUCUCUACUUAAACCAAUUAACACAAGUGUAACAGGUAGAAAGUAUAAUUACAGAUAUUCAAUAAU